GGGGAUGUAGCUCAGUGGCAUAGCACCUGCCUGGCAAACACAAGGUUGUGAGUUUGAUCCCCACUACCCUCA
This 72-nucleotide transfer RNA is filed under the name Heterocephalus glaber (naked mole-rat). It matches the Rfam family "tRNA". Rfam says of the family: Transfer RNA (tRNA) molecules are approximately 80 nucleotides in length. Their secondary structure includes four short double-helical elements and three loops (D, anti-codon, and T loops). The record is from Rfam by way of RNAcentral. Lineage: Eukaryota; Metazoa; Chordata; Mammalia; Rodentia; Bathyergidae.